AGGAAGGGGUGACUGGUGACAGUGAGGGGAUGACUGGUGACAGAGUGAGGGAAGGGAUGACUAGUGGCAGAGUGAGGGAAGGAAGGGAUGACUGGUGACAGAGAGAGGAAGGGGGUGACACAGUGAAGGAGGUGGUGACUGUCACUAGUCACCCCAUCCCUCCCUCUGUCACUAAUCACCACCUCCCUCACUCUGUCACUAGUCACCCCUCUCCUCCCUCUCUCUGUCACUAGUCACACCCUGCCUCACUGUCACUAGUCACAUCCUCCCUCACUGUCACUAGUCACCCCCUUCCU
Molecule: non-coding RNA, 296 nt
Organism: Pelobates cultripes (western spadefoot toad)
Lineage: Eukaryota; Metazoa; Chordata; Amphibia; Anura; Pelobatidae
Source: the annotation of a GenBank genome assembly